CCUACGGGUGGCAGCAGUGAGGAAUAUUGGUCAAUGGGCGCAGGCCUGAACCAGCCAAGUCGCGUGAGGGAUGACGGUCCUACGGAUUGUAAACCUCUUUUGUCGGGGAGUAACGUGCGGGACGCGUCCCGUAUUGAGAGUACCCGAAGAAAAAGCAUCGGCUAACUCCGUGCCAGCAGCCGCGGUAAUACGGAGGAUGCGAGCGUUAUCCGGAUUUAUUGGGUUUAAAGGGUGCGCAGGCGGCGCGCCAAGUCAGCGGUCAAAGUUCCGGGCUCAACCCGGUGUCGCCGUUGAAACUGGCGUGCUCGAGUGCGUGCGAGGAAGGCGGAAUGCGUUGUGUAGCGGUGAAAUGCAUAGAUAUGACGCAGAACUCUGAUUGCGAAGGCAGCUUUCCAGCGCGCUACUGACGCUGAGGCACGAAAGCGUGGGGAUCGAACAGGAUUAGAUACCCUGGUAGUC
Molecule: ribosomal RNA, 459 nt
Filed under: Salmonella enterica subsp. enterica serovar Montevideo
Lineage: Bacteria; Pseudomonadati; Pseudomonadota; Gammaproteobacteria; Enterobacterales; Enterobacteriaceae
Description: bacterial SSU rRNA
Rfam family: Bacterial small subunit ribosomal RNA
Source: RNAcentral